Molecule: ribosomal RNA, 255 nt
Filed under: uncultured bacterium
Lineage: Bacteria
Description: partial 16S ribosomal RNA
Rfam family: Bacterial small subunit ribosomal RNA
Source: RNAcentral
UACGUAGGGUGCAAGCGUUUGUCCGGAAUUAUUGGGCGUAAAGGGCUCGUAGGCGGCCAACUAAGUCGGACGUGAAAAUCCCCAGGCUCAACCUGGGAACUGCGUCCGAUACUGGAUGGCUUGAAUCCGGGAGAGGGAUGCAGAAUUCCAGGUGUAGCGGUGAAAUGCGUAGAUAUCUGGAGGAAUACCGGUGGCGAAGGCGGCAUCCUGGACCGGCAUUGACGCUGAGGAGCGAAAGCCAGGGGAGCAAACGGG